Long non-coding RNA from Drosophila eugracilis, 1207 nucleotides. RefSeq lists it as uncharacterized. The transcript is spliced from 2 exons. Lineage: Eukaryota; Metazoa; Arthropoda; Insecta; Diptera; Drosophilidae. The record is from RefSeq and is a predicted model, not a curated record.
CCAAGCUAAAAGUUUUAGUAUUCGUUCUUUAAUUUCGGGGAUUUCCCUAUCUGCAAAGACGUGCAUUAAAUGAGCAAUAAAUAACCGACAAACUGCAGUUGGCUGUCGUGUGAUUGCAACAGCAGUGUGAUAUAUGUAUGUACGUAUUUGAGGCUUAAAACUUGGUUUGUUUAACUAUUGCAACUGCCCUGAUCUCAUUUCUGUAAUUGGAAAACUUAAAUUGAGUCAAAGAGGGGAAAAAUAAUAACAUUUACUCUGUAAGAGUUUUACACCCGGCGAGUUUACUUUGUUUAAUCAGAAAUAAAAACCUUUUCAGUCUUAAAUUCCUCAGAAUACCUUUGAAUUCCGUUAAAAAGCUUUUAUAACUGUUCAUGGUUAAUCACCUAGAAUUAAUGUUCAAUACACAGACUUUCUUUAAGGGCCACUAUAAAAAGUAAUCAAGAUAAUGUGUUCUUUGUUUAGCUUUAAUAUCACAUAAGAAAUGCUAAGCAAACCUAGAGGUUCCCUAGCCUUAAAAGGCUGAUAUCUAUAACGGAGACCGACAAAGUUGCAUAAUAAACAGACAAGUUGACGAAAUGGGGAGCCCAUGGAGCCAAUUUCAAACGAAAUCAUAAUGCCAAGGCACGCGAGCCGGCUCAACGAACGGGGUCGUUUUGAAUUGAGCUGGGAAAUUAAAAAUAAUAAGUUAAUUGCCUGAUUAGAAUAAUUUUCCUCUACAUGUCAGCCUCAAUGCGUGUGUGUUUGUUGGGGCUGAGUGUCAUAAACGAUAUCUAAAAGGCAAAAGCUCUCGGAGAAUUGUUAUGGGGUUUCACUGGCUUGGUGUGGUUCUGACUAUCACAUAAAUUAGUCUUGUGACAAACGAUGACAGUGCGGAUUGGACUGUUGCUCUGGUCGAACAAUGUCACCCACUACAAUACACACCCUACUUGCAACAUCGAUUAAACUUUGACAAAGUUGCGAAAAAUAUUGACAAACAAGCGACCUUGACGGUGACAGUCAGUGACGUCACUCUGGCACUGGCUGACACAAAGAAAUAGAAAAUAGAAAACCUUUCAAUUUCAUGGGCGGGCGGCGUACCAAAGUCGAAAAACAGACCAACUGACCCGCAAGCCAAUGUCAAUGAUGCACCAAAUCUUGCCAGAAAUUCCUCGUCUACAUUUGCCUUUGUAUAUAUCGGAAUAAAUAUAUGUACGUAUUUACAAAGGUA